This 522-nucleotide long non-coding RNA is filed under the name Sinocyclocheilus anshuiensis. RNAcentral's name for it is "lncRNA (ENSSANG00000000540.1)". Lineage: Eukaryota; Metazoa; Chordata; Actinopteri; Cypriniformes; Cyprinidae. The record is from RNAcentral.
AAAAAGCUCAUCAGGAAACUGGUUCUUAGCUCUUUUUAGAGUGCUGAUAAAGUUGUGACACAUACCUGAUAUCCUUCAGAUUUGACGACAAAGAACAUCUCGAAAGCUUCUCCCUUUUUAAAAGGGGUUGUCAGAGACACUUUCCUCAGCCUCCCAUCCUCCGUUCCUGAAGCUGUUCAUGACCACCUUCCGGUCCAUUCGAGGGUUGAAGUGGAAAGCAAUGUCAUCAUUGUCAGAUGGCCCAGUCUUGAAAUUUAGUUCAAAUCUGCAUGGAAGAUGAAACAUUUUAAAUCAACCAAAUCCAAACAACAAUUGUUAAAUAAAAUUAACAAUUUGUUUUGACCAAAUUGCCCAACAAAACAAUUCCUUACCGGUCAGCAUUAGCAGGAACAACUCCCUGCAAGUACAAGGCCAUGCCUUCUCUCAGUCCUCCUGAAAUUGGGGCCACAUAAGGAAGGUUCUGCAGUAAACACAAGAAAAUAUGCAUCAGUCCCUAUUAAUAAGCAUCAGCAUAAAUUAACC